AAUGAACGCUGGCGGCAGGCCUAACACAUGCAAGUCGAACGGAUCCUUCGGGAUUAGUGGCGGACGGGUGAGUAACGCGUGGGAACAUACCCAAAGGUACGGAAUAGCCUCGGGAAACUGGGAGUAAUACCGUAUGUGCUCGAAAGAGGAAAGAUUGAUCGCCUUUGGAUGGGCCCGCGUUGGAUUAGGUAGUUGGUGGGGUAAUGGCCUACCAAGCCGACGAUCCAUAGCUGGUAUGAGAGGAUGAUCAGCCACACUGGGACUGAGACACGGCCCAGACUCCUACGGGAGGCAGCAGUGGGGAAUCUUAGACAAUGGGGGAAACCCUGAUCUAGCCAUGCCGCGUGAUCGAUGAAGGCCUUAGGGUUGUAAAGAUCUUUCAGGUGGGAGGAUAAUGACUGUACCACCAGAAGAAGCCCCGGCUAACUCCGUGCCAGCCGCCGCCGUAA
RNAcentral lists this ribosomal RNA (449 nucleotides) under uncultured bacterium. RNAcentral describes it as "partial 16S ribosomal RNA". It matches the Rfam family "Bacterial small subunit ribosomal RNA", at positions 29 to 523 of the family's 1533-position model. The record is from RNAcentral.